This 258-nucleotide ribosomal RNA is filed under the name uncultured bacterium. RNAcentral's name for it is "partial 16S ribosomal RNA". It matches the Rfam family "Bacterial small subunit ribosomal RNA", at positions 1243 to 1500 of the family's 1533-position model. The record is from RNAcentral.
AGGGAUGCUACCGGGCGACCGGAUGCGGAUCUCGAAAGCCUGUCCCAGUUCGGACUGGAGUCUGCAACCCGACUCCACGAAGUUGGACUCGCUAGUAAUCGCGCAUCAGCCAUGGCGCGGUGAAUACGUUCCCGGGCCUUGUACACACCGCCCGUCACACCAUGGGAGUCAGCAACGCCCGAAAUCAGUGACCCAACCGAAAGGAGGGAGCUGCCGAAGGCGGGGCAGGUAACUGGGGUGAAGUCGUAACAAGGUAAC